UCACUGUGAUGAGCUUCCACUUCAGGUCCGUGUUUUUGAACUCUGUGAUAGUAUCGAAGUUCUGAGUUU
This is a non-coding RNA of Xyrichtys novacula (pearly razorfish), 69 nucleotides long. The record is from the annotation of a GenBank genome assembly. Lineage: Eukaryota; Metazoa; Chordata; Actinopteri; Labriformes; Labridae.